This is a non-coding RNA of Camellia sinensis, 309 nucleotides long. NCBI's taxonomy places the organism in Eukaryota, Viridiplantae, Streptophyta, Magnoliopsida, Ericales, Theaceae. The record is from RefSeq and is a predicted model, not a curated record.
CAGGCUUAGUUUGCUUUGGAUAAAAUUUGUUCAAAUCAACAUGCAUUGUUUCCUAUCAUCGAACCUAGCCAAGUGCAAUCUAUAUCCUCUACUGAUUAUGUGAAAAUACCUACUGAUGGAGCUGAUGUCUGGGAAAUUGAUGCUAGCCUGCUGAAAUUUGAAAGCAGCGUUGGAUCUGGUUCAUUUGGUGAUCUGUAUAAAGGCACAUACUGCAGUCAGGAGGUGGCUAUCAAAGUCCUCAAGCCUGAUCUUGUGGAUAAAGAUAUGCUGAGAGAGUUUGCCCAGGAAGUGUUCAUUAUGAGGUCUGUU